This 848-nucleotide long non-coding RNA is filed under the name Androctonus crassicauda. The record is from RNAcentral. Lineage: Eukaryota; Metazoa; Arthropoda; Arachnida; Scorpiones; Buthidae.
UUCAACUAAUUGGAUAGACUUUAAAGUCAAGUUGAAGUUGGAAUUAAAUUUAUUUACACUAUUCUACAUAAUCAGAUGGUAGAAUAAACAAGCUCAUGUGUUGCAUAAACAAAGCACAAAAAAGAUAACUAGAAGUUUUCAUAUGAUGAUAAAGGCAAGCAACUUCCAGUAGCUAAGUUGAAGUGCUUUUGCUGAUUCAAUUGUGAAAAGAUAUUACAGAGGGAAAUGAAGCCAUAGAUGUUACAAUAAUUCCACAGAUCAGCUAAGUGACCUCAAUUGAAACUGGCCAACAAAUCUCAACCAAGACUGCAUCACAACUGUUUUCUGUUUAUGCCUUAUCAGGUACAAAAAAUUUUUUUUAAUUUUACAUAUUUCAUUUUGUAAACAAUUCUAAAGUCUAAAGCAUCCAUUAGGAUGAUGCUUUAGGCUUUAGAAUUAUGAGAGUCUCAUAAGAAGGCAGUAAAAAGUUGCUUGAAAGUUUCUACAAAAUUUUUACAAGAAAAUCUAUCCAAAAUACAUGAAAUUUUGGAUAACUUCUCUGAUAAUGCCCACUACUUGGAGCAAUGUUUCUGCAAUCUGCAGAGGAUUCAAUACUCUUCUCAAGCCUUAUGGUAAAUUCUUGCAUGAACAACACAGAAUUUUCCAGCAUUCAACAUUGAUCCAAUUUUUUAAGAAAACAUUCCAGCAGAAACAAAAGAAUUGGAGAACAACACUUUGGCCCUAACUUCCAUGACAACCCAGCAAGAAGAAAAAACAAAAAAAAACAAGCCUGCAAUGAUAGUACCCUUGUCACAAAGGAGUUUCAACCAAUGAUUUUUUGCAAAUUUAUUGUUAUACGAACUUUUUUA